Small RNA from Flavobacterium branchiophilum FL-15, 78 nucleotides. It matches the Rfam family "Flavo-1 RNA". Lineage: Bacteria; Pseudomonadati; Bacteroidota; Flavobacteriia; Flavobacteriales; Flavobacteriaceae. The record is from Rfam.
CCCUAGCCCAGAUGGAAGCGACAUCCUUUUGUUUUUUUCUUUAAAAAACAAAAGAUAUAGCGAACAGCUGGAAUGGCU